RNAcentral lists this transfer RNA (89 nucleotides) under Owenweeksia hongkongensis DSM 17368. Its description in RNAcentral is "tRNA-Leu". It matches the Rfam family "tRNA". Rfam says of the family: Transfer RNA (tRNA) molecules are approximately 80 nucleotides in length. Their secondary structure includes four short double-helical elements and three loops (D, anti-codon, and T loops). Lineage: Bacteria; Pseudomonadati; Bacteroidota; Flavobacteriia; Flavobacteriales; Owenweeksiaceae. The record is from RNAcentral.
GCCCUGGUGGUGGAAUUGGUAGACACGCAGGACUUAAAAUCCUGUGAUCAGCAAUGGUCGUGCGGGUUCAAGUCCCGCCCGGGGCACGA